This 69-nucleotide transfer RNA is filed under the name Chattonella subsalsa. Lineage: Eukaryota; Raphidophyceae; Chattonellales; Chattonellaceae. The record is from RNAcentral.
AAGUUUUGUUAGUUUUUGUCUAUGGCCAUUUUUUCUUCUAUAUUUCUUUUUUGGUUUCAUUUUAUAAAC